GUGAUCUGUAUGUGAUAGAGACAGUCCAGACGAGCAUGGUGGCCGCAUCGUGGGGCUAAGAUGUCUUACGGUAAUCUGUGAGAUGUCUCUUACUGAGUCUGUGCACAUGAUGGUCUGUGCUUGUCUUCGUGUGAGCAUGGUAUUAUCCAUAGUCCUCAAUCCCUGGUGAAGUGGCAACAAAAAUGUUUUAUAUCUCCGGCGGAGUGAGGUAACGAUCCCUGCGCCCCUAGUAGGGUCUCAGGCCUUGGGCCUCUGAGCAUAGCAGUCCGGUUCGCCUCACCCGAUGCCUUUCCUAGGGACUUUGCCUGCGUGGCAGGGCCUGCAUCCCAUUGGUGGCCCUUCCACCCGC
This is a non-coding RNA of Pelobates cultripes (western spadefoot toad), 349 nucleotides long. The record is from the annotation of a GenBank genome assembly. NCBI's taxonomy places the organism in Eukaryota, Metazoa, Chordata, Amphibia, Anura, Pelobatidae.